Molecule: small RNA, 514 nt
Filed under: Pongo abelii (Sumatran orangutan)
Lineage: Eukaryota; Metazoa; Chordata; Mammalia; Primates; Hominidae
Description: retained intron
Source: RNAcentral
GUAUGACACACACAUCACGGUUCUCGAUGCGGCCCUUGAGACUGGGCAGUUGAUCAUCAUGGAGACCCGCAAGAAAGAUGGCACUUGGCCCAGCGCACAGCUACAUGUCAUGAACAACAACAUGUCGGAAGAGGAUGAGGACUUCAAGGGCCAGCCAGGCAUCUGUGGCCUCACCAAUCUGGGCAACACGUGCUUCAUGAACUCGGCCCUGCAGGUUGGGCCAUUAUAGUUGUGUCUGGCACAGCCACGGGGUUGGGCUUCAAGAGCUGAGGAUUGGGGACAGAGCUGGGGUCCUGAGGGGACUACAGGGCAAGGGGUCAGGAUGAAAGCUGAAGCCCCACAAGUCUGAAGUGACACGCCCAUGUUCAUUCCUGAACUAUCAGCUUCUUCUCUCAGCUUGCCCUCGUUUUCCCUCUUCUCUUCCCUGUUCCCACAUUCUUCCUUCUCGUGAAAUCCUAAUGCCUUCUCUCCCCUACUCUCCUGCUCCUCUCUCCUCCCUUCCCCUUCUCUCUCG